Lepisosteus oculatus (spotted gar) is the source of this 497-nucleotide non-coding RNA. Lineage: Eukaryota; Metazoa; Chordata; Actinopteri; Semionotiformes; Lepisosteidae. The record is from RefSeq and is a predicted model, not a curated record.
CGUCCAGAGUUUUUCAUCUUUUUAGCUGCUGUUGUACUGCCCAUUCUGGUGGUAAUAGCAGUCCUGAUCUCCCUGAGCUUCAAAAUCAAAAGAAGGAAACAGGAAAGAGAAAGGGAAAUGGAAGAAGAGGGAAACAACACUAUUGUGUAUGCCACCAUCGAUAAAGCAGCAACAAGGACAACAACGCAGUUGCAGGAAAGGGAAGCAGAUGUGUGCUAUGCUACUGUGAAAGCUAAAUUACCGAAGAAACAGACUACUGUAGUUGAGCUGAAUCUAAAGUCAGAGUACGCUACUGUGAAGAUGCACUGAGAGACAACAAAGCUGAGGAAAUAUCAGAGAAAGGAUUUCUGAUUUCAAUAAAGACUUAUGAUAGACCUUGAUUGACUGGAGCAAUUUCUAUAUGUAUUAAUAAUUUACUGAUGAAUAUCUAAGCCUUUGAUUGUUUUUAUGAUAUGGACAAAAUUAAUAGGUUUCUUCUUUUUGGAAAUUAUUUAAAA